UCUUGCCAAAGAAGAGGACCCUACACGGUUUGAUUUCUUUUGUUUAGACCUUUGUCAGCAUUGUUUUUUUCCACUUCAAGGAGACAUUUUCAGGAGUUGUGAAAAACGAGUGAAAAUCACUGGUAACAUCAACACCAUCAUCAGAAAAGCAACUGCGCUGGCUAUGUUAGCAAAAUUGAGGUUUUGGAUAAAUGUGUUGCCAAAUGAUAAAAGUGGGAAGACUCGGGCCCUGCUCACCCCCAGACCACGGCCCCCAGCGAUACAAGCAGGC
Molecule: long non-coding RNA, 271 nt
Organism: Camelus dromedarius (Arabian camel)
Lineage: Eukaryota; Metazoa; Chordata; Mammalia; Artiodactyla; Camelidae
Exons: 3
Source: RefSeq, a predicted model, not a curated record